AUGUACAUUCCUAUAAUAUAGUGUUAAUGCACCAGAUGCCAUUAUAAAUCCACAGUUAAGCACGCUCAGGCUAGAGUAGUAUUGAGAUGGGUGACCCCCGGGGAAGUCCUAGUGUUUUACAUG
Molecule: non-coding RNA, 123 nt
Organism: Picea glauca (white spruce)
Lineage: Eukaryota; Viridiplantae; Streptophyta; Pinopsida; Pinales; Pinaceae
Source: Rfam